UAGAUGAUGGGAUAUUCAGGCACCGAGCUGAUGGUAAGGCAUGGAAGAAUUUUGAUAGGCAACAUCCUUUGUUUUCCUAAGAGACUCGAAAUGUGAGGUUAGGAUUGGCCACUGAUGGUUUCAAUACUUUUGGAAACUUGAGCAACUCGUACAAUAUAUGGCCUGUGAUUGUUAUGCCUCACAACUUGCCUCCUUGGAAAUGUAUGAAACAAUCAUUUAGUAUAUUGUCAUUACUUAUCCCUGGACCACAAGCACCGGGGAGAGAUAUUGAUGUUUACAUGCGACCAUUAAUUGACGAGUUGAAGGAGUUAUGGGAAGAUGGUGUGCUUACUUAUGAUGCCUCAACUGCAUUAACUUUUCGAAUGCAUGCGGCUGUUAUAUGGACGAUUAAUGACUUUCCUGCAUAUGGCAACUUGUUAGGAUGGAGUACGAAAGGUUAUUUGGCUUGUCCCACAUGUAACAAGAAUGCAUCCUCACAACGAUUGAGAAGUAAAAUAGUGUACACAGGCGCUCACCGUUACCUGCCUGAUGACCACCCUUGGCGGAGGAGUUGACUUUAUAACGAUAAGGCUGAGUUUGUGUCAAGACCUUUGGAGUUAUCAGGAGAACAAAUUUUAGAACAAUUGGACUUAGGGACAUUCAGACCAUUUGGAAAGCAUCCAACCAAUAAGAAAAGAAAAAGGGAAGAUCUAGUAUUGAAUUGGAUAACAAAAAAAAAAAAAACUUUUUUAUGUUUCCAUAUUGGAAAACACUUAAACUUUGACACAACCUCGAUGUUAUGCAAAUAGAGAAGAAUAUAUGUGAUAGUUUUCUUGGAACAUUACUGCGUAUAGAUGAAAAAAACAAAGGCACAGAAAAAGCACGCGUAGAUUUAGAACAUAUGAAAAUAAGGAAGGAGUUGUAUCUAAAAAGGCAUGCCGAUGGGUCUUUUAAAGAGCCCCCAGCAUUGUACACUUUGUCCUUAGAUGAAAGGCAUGGUUUCUGUGAGUUUUUAAAGUCUAUUAAGUAUCCUGAUGGUUAUGCAGCAAACAUCUCAAGGUGUGUGAGCACAAAAGGUGAUAAGUUAACAGGCCUAAAAAGUCAUGAUUGUCAUGUCCUUCUACAGCGACUUCUUCCCAUUGGAAUGCGUGGAUAUCUUCAUAAUGAUAUUUGUGUCGCAUUAUAUGAGUUGGGAAAUUUCUUCCAAGAGCUUUUCUCAAAGACAAUGAAGGUGAAGGAUUUGGAAAAAUUAGAAGAUAUGCAAGCUGGAGAAAAUUUUUCUACCAGCGUUUUUUGAUGCGAUGGUCCAUUUGACCAUUCUUUUGCAACGCGAAGCCAUUCUUGGUGAGCCUGUGCAAUAUCGGUGGAUAUACCCCAUUGAAAGGCUACUUGGAACAUUAAAAGGAUAUGUCACAAAUCGAGCUCGUCCAAAAGUUUCGAUCGCAGAAGCUUAUGUUGUCAAGGAGUGUCUCACAUUUUGCUCAAUGUAUCUGGUGGGAUUGAAACUGUAUUUAAUCGAGAGGAAUGAAAUGUCAAUGUUGGUGUGCAUGAGUUGGGGUUAGAGGUCUUCACGCAAAAUGUUCGUCCUUUUGGGCUAAUUACAAGGGCUUCUGACGUGUCUUAGAAAGAAUGUGAAAUGGCUCAUUGGUUCAUCUUGAAUAAUAGCCUCAAGUUGGACCAUUAUCUAGAGUAACACAAGAAUCUUUUAGAAAAUCAAGGUGCACGUGACAUCACAAAGAGACAGAAAGAGAAAUUUCUCAAGUGGUUCAAAGAACAUAUGAACCAAUUACGAGCUCAAGGAUUACCAGAAGCAACUGAUGAUUUGUGGUCAUUAGCAAAUGGUCCUAGUGUAAAUGUUAAUUUGCAUUCAGAUUGCAUUUCCAAUGGUGUUCGAUUUCUUAGUAAAGAUCGUGAUAGUAGUCAUAAAUGCCAAAAUAGUGGGUUAGUUAUGGAAAGGGAGCAUGAAGGACAAACAAUUGACUUUUAUGGGUACUUGAACAAAGUGUGGGAGAUGCGUUACAUACUUAGACAUCGAGUUAUUUUAUUCCAAUGUGAAUGGUUCAACACCGGUAGCAAUAGAUCGUUACAUAUCGAUACACAUUGCACAAGUAUUGAUGUUAGAAGUCGAUGGUAUAAAGAUGAUCCAUUUGUCUUACCAAGUCAUGUGAAACAAGUUUUCUGCAUUGAUGAUACAAAGUUAGGUGGACAUUGGAAAGUCGUAGAAAGACUACAACAUCGAGGAAUAUAGGAUGUAUCAAAACAAGAUGGCAUUGAACCUAAUGAUGUAUUCCAACAGAAUGAAACAAUUGAUGUUGUCCCAGUCAACGUUGAAGACCCCAUCACAAUCUCACUUCAUAGGAAUGGCAUUGAUCCUCAAAUUAUCCCAAGUGAGGUGGUUUUAUAAUCAGUUAGUCGAGCACACAACGAUGGUGUUGAUGAUGAAAGAGGGCAAAAUAAUGAAGAUGAUUACUAUGAGCAUUGACUAUCCGAAAAGAUAAGCUACAUAAUCAUUUUUAAUUCUAAUAUAGAUUUUGACAUAGAACUUUAAUUUUUUUGUCAUUUUUAUGUUUUUAUGACACUGUUGUUUAAGUGCCUUUGAGUUUGAGUACAAUGACUAUUUAAAAAGAUUUUUUUUUUUUUUUUUUUUGUAUAUGUGUGUUUGUGUGUGUCCCUGUCUCUCUCUCUCUCUCUCUCUAUAUAUAUAUAUAUAUAUAUUUUAGUUUUUUAUGUCAUUUUAUUUUUUAGUUAUCACUUAUGUUCUGAUAUUAAUUCUAUUAUACAUCCAUUGAUAUUAAUGUAAUUGCUUAUUUUACAUAUGCUUCACACAUGUAAUUGUUGAGUUGUUGU
Camellia sinensis is the source of this 2826-nucleotide non-coding RNA. The record is from RefSeq and is a predicted model, not a curated record. Lineage: Eukaryota; Viridiplantae; Streptophyta; Magnoliopsida; Ericales; Theaceae.